CUCUCCUAAAGAUUAUACAGGGGAAAAAAGAUUACACAGGGAAAAAAAGGAAAGGAGAAACAAAGCUGUGGAGCUUAGUAGCCUACAAUGAAGGCAAUACUAUCACCGCCACCACCAAGAUCAAACAUCUUCUGCUCCCAUCAUGAGUGUUUCUUUCUCUCUGUAUAUCCCACUUCGCCGCUGCAGAAGCCACCUCGCUUAGACG
Molecule: unclassified non-coding RNA, 205 nt
Filed under: Hevea brasiliensis (rubber tree)
Lineage: Eukaryota; Viridiplantae; Streptophyta; Magnoliopsida; Malpighiales; Euphorbiaceae
Source: RNAcentral